RNAcentral lists this non-coding RNA (112 nucleotides) under Solanum lycopersicum (tomato). RNAcentral describes it as "Bacterial small subunit ribosomal RNA". It matches the Rfam family "Bacterial small subunit ribosomal RNA", at positions 755 to 869 of the family's 1533-position model. Lineage: Eukaryota; Viridiplantae; Streptophyta; Magnoliopsida; Solanales; Solanaceae. The record is from Rfam by way of RNAcentral.
GAAAGCAUGGGGUGCAAACAUGAUUAGAUACUCUGGUAGUCCAUGCUGUAAAUGAUGAGUGUUCGCCCUUGGUCUACGCGGAUCAGGGGCCCAGCUAACGCGUGAAACACUC